GUGAAUCUCAGCCGGCCCCAUAAAUCACGCGAGAAGUGCUUAAAAGCCGCCCCCAAAAGUCGGCAAGUUUAGUCAUUUUCGUAAAUUUACAGUGGAAAUUGCGCAUUAUUUCGAAACCGUUUGCGCUAUUUUAAUUCCGCACUGGAAUUCGACCGGUUUGUUCUUAUCUCUGAUUGUCAGGUGAUGCGCGUACAAUAGUAGUGUAUAGUUUUGUACUAUAUACGCGAUCGUGUGAUGGCGUUGCGUGUAUCGUUUGCUCACGCUGCAGGAAUAAAAAUUAGUUUCACCGAAUCCGACGGAUGAUUCGCACGCGGUCGUCGCGAUUCUUCUUUCUUAGGAUUUAAUUCGGUAACGCGUAUUUCUUUCGGUGUUCUUAGUGAUUAUUUUUGUUUAUUGUGUCUCGCUAAUGAUUUAUCGCUUAUAAGAUGUACGCGAAAUGCAAAUAUUGUGUAUUUGUUUGUGAGCGGGGUGCCGACGGAUGCCGUUUACAAUGGAAGUUUUACAAUACUAACCAUAUUUGUCGUGCGUUGGAGUCAAUGAGUUCUGCAUUGUCCUCUCUUUGAUUUCCUGAUGCACUGGUAAGUUUGUAAACGUUAUUAUAUCAUAAUUACAUAUUUAUUUUAAAUCGCAUGUAACGUGAGUACCGUAAUGAAACAAAAUUGAUGCGUGCCGUCGGAUGCGACUUCGAUCUACCCGUAGAGUAUGGUCGUGUCAAUCAUCGGUUUAAUAACGUGAAUUUUUCCUUGCUUGCAUUUUCUUUUUAUUUCAUAAAUCUGCAGGCUCUUUAACGUAUUUUCGUAGUUUGGCAAUUAAUUAUUGAGAGUAAGAUAUAUGUAAAAGACGAUUUAAAUUUCCUUUCGCGUGUGUGCUUUAGUUGCCGUCGGCGGACACAUUUUGCCUUGCUUAUGGCGUAUCUGGAGAAUCCAUCGCAAAGAAAAUUUCUAGCUCUUUAUAAAUGUAAUUGUAUUUUUGUUGUUUCACCCUCUCUAAUCGUGAAUCUAAUUCCAUGCAUGGAAAAUUUUGAAUUUUUUUAUUAAAUGUAGCAAUUUUCUUCUUGAAUCACCCUAUGUAUUAAUUUUCCUUGCUCUCUAAUGUAAAACUGACUAAAUUUAUUGGUUCCGGGUUUUCUAUUUAAACUUUGUAUUUUAUUUUUAAAUGUAGGAAUUUCCUAUUUGUAACACCCUGUAUGUUUGUUUUUCUUGAUUUCCUAUUAUAAGUUUUCUAAAUUUGUUAUUCCCGAGUGUUUUCUUCUUUGAACUAUUGAUUUUCUUUUUGUAACACCCUGUAUAUAUGUUUUCUUUUUGUGUCCGUGAAAAUUUUGCUUUAACUGUCGUCUUUAGUAUUUUCCCAUUUGCACUUUAAAUUUUCUUUCUGGAACACCUUGUAUAUUAGUUUCCCUGAUCGUCGAGUGAAAACGAGCGGCGUUUGUAGUGUCCAGAGUUUUUUGUUUGCACUUAAAAUUUUCUUUUUGUAACACCCUGUAUAUUUAUUUUAAUUUUCAAUAACAUAGAAAAUGAACUAUUUGCUAAUUUCAUUAUUCCGGUAGAACUGUACGAACUUCGAACUACGAAGUGCUACUUGCUUAUAUGUGCGCGGCGUAGCAGGUCGUGUUUCAAUAUGGCGACAUGUAUUCUGCUGAAUUGCAAAGUCUAAACUUGUAUUCUAUUGUUAAUAAAGAAAUAGUAAGAUA
Molecule: long non-coding RNA, 1690 nt
Organism: Dalotia coriaria
Lineage: Eukaryota; Metazoa; Arthropoda; Insecta; Coleoptera; Staphylinidae
Exons: 3
Source: RefSeq, a predicted model, not a curated record